CGCUCACAUACACCUCAGACCAGGUUAGAGGGGGACAAGGUUGUGUGUGUGUGUAAGUGUGUGUGCAUCUGUGUGUGUCAUCAAAACAGGGCAGCUCACUCCAAAGUCCCUAAAUCAGCCAGGACAUUUCUAUUGUCAACACAACACUAACAGCAAUGCUGAGGCCAUCUGUUUCCAUGGGAAACUGUCCAACAAGCAGCUUUAGAACCUGUUCAUUCACAUAAACAUGUUGUUACUUCUACUGUGCAUUAACAUGAUAACAAAUGUAAUUGUCUUGUAAAAAAGUGUUAUUGUUAGAUUUGUUUCUCCCAAGUGAUAUUUUUGUGUUUGAAGUAUUAGCCAGGCUGAUAGAAAAGUAGUGUUGUGUCAAAGUUGAAUGUGCAAUGUCAUUAGUAUUUUUUUACUGAUCUGAUAAGCCUCUGAUGAUCAUGAUAAACCUGUACCUGGUAUAGUUGUGGCAUAAUCCAAUUUUUCCUCAGGAUUUGAGAGACGAAGUUGAAUCAAAUAUGAAGAUGUAGAAUGUCAUUUAACAAAACUGUACUAAAUACUGAGGUCAUGAGUCUAAUUCCCCCCAACAUAACCAUAACCCCCCUCAGAAACAAAGUCUAAAUAUCGAUUUCACAUUUCAUUUAUUCUGUUAACUAUUCAGUUACAUUUUUCUCUACACUGUGAUGAAUACAAUUAGGGUUGGGAGGUAGAUAAUGAAAUUUAAACAUAUUGAGUCUAAAAAUACUGGAAUGAGCCUGUAAAAGACCUUUGUAUAGUAUAAGGUUCAGUUGCUGUAGAAUUUAAACUCUCCCACAAACAAAAUACCCUGAAAAAAAACAUAACAUAAUAAAGGGCCUCAGUGUCCUCAAUGGUUGCUACGACCCUGAUCAUACAGAUAAAAUUCAGAUUUAAAGCAUAGAGAAAACUAAAAGAAAUCUCAAUUUUUAAAGCAGUAGGAGCAGGCCUCUUUUAGCAAUGUGAGAUUGUUCAAUUUAAUAUUAAUAAAUUCAUUAGCAAUAUAAAGAUUUUAGAGUCUCUCAAUAGCAGAUCUGGCUUUUUUGAACAAUUCAAAUUCAAACUUGAUUACAUGACUAACAUACAAAAAUAUUUGCUUAUUACUUGGAAAUAAAAAAUUACAACAAGCUCACAAGAGCAGCUUAUUUGCCAUUCCCUUGAGGGAUGAAUACUUGUUUUUGCAGCCUGUCACACAGUAAACAAUGUGACAGUAAACAUCAUACAGUAUGUUUUAAAUGUGCAAUAAUCAAAGAUAACAGAUGAUACACAUAGAGGGCAUUUUGUGACCCCUUUUUUUGACAAAGUUACAGGGAGUCAGAUAAAGGAGGUGUCUCUUGUUGACAGAUUUUCAGUGGGUGAGAGCCCAUUUCAACCUGGUUGGGGUUGGAUUUCACUGUGUGCUGUAGAAGCCUAUUUGUUGUGGAAAGGAUUACGGUGACCGAUCUAGUCGCAAACAAGAUUAGUGGCAGCGGAUCAUGUUUGAUUGGGAAGCUCCAAAACAGCCCUCUCAACUGUGAGACAAGUUGUUGCCCUGCUUGUAGCCAGCAGGAAGGAAAUCAUGAAAUACACCUGCAAAUAAAUCAGGACAAGAGGACAAUGUGUACUCUUUACUUCACUCUCUCUGACCAACCCACUUCUACAUGGCUCAUUGUUUUAUGUUGUUGCAGAUCUGUCCAGCUCACUCUGAAAAGCAGGAGACAACAAGGCCCACUCCGAAGUAAUUUUGCCUUUAAUUUCAAGAUUGAGCUGUAGAGUCAUGUCUUUUUAUAGAGCUGGACACAAACACACACUCACACAACCACGGUCACACACACUCAGGAGUAUCUGUAAUCCCUAGUUGAGACAGGCAGACACCCCCCGUGCAUCACUCUCCCGUUCAUUCCAUAGAUCUGUCAUCGUCCCUGGACAAAAGCACCUCGCCAGGAUGACUAAUCUGCACUCGGCUCGCUGUCCUGGCUGACUCAGGCUGCCAUGUCGAUUCUAUUUCAGACGUGACUCAGGGAUCGCUGAAGCGAGCUAUGAUUGGAAUGGAGACAAGUCACACAAAGGGGAGACAAAGACAAAGAUGGACAGAGAGCAACAGAGAGAGGGGGAGAAAGAGGAAUUCUAUUCCCAACUCAUUAAAACUUCUUUAGAAGCUGAAAGAUGACUAGAGGCAUAGCAGUGCUUAUAUCAUUCUGUGUGGGUGUGUGUGUGUGUGUGUGUGUGUGUGUGUGUGAGCGUGUGUGUGAGAGAGAGAGAGUGUGUGUCUCAGUCCUCUCUUGUCUCCCCUCCAGCAGUGACAGUGAAGGCUCCAGGGCUGACACAGGGGACAGCCCACCUCAGUCUGUCCCAGAAACCCUCACCUUGUCUGGGCCACUAAGCACACCACAGCCCCUUAAGUCACCAAGCCUACCCAUCCAGACAGUGAUGCUGCUUAGCUGACCUACCCACCACCAAAACCACCAACCUGCAGUAUCCUGAUAUAUCAUCCUCAAUGACCCAAAUUGAUACAUUGCAGAUUGGUGGGCCUGCUGUCCUUGCCAUGCAGUGGUACACCAUUCCUGCUGAAUUAUUCACAUCUUGCAGAGAAGAGGAGCAAAGAGAGACAGACCGUAUAAAGCUAAGCUAAUUAAAGUAGUGGUAUUAAAAGUGUGCCUAUGUCUCUUCCAAGAAGAGAGGAAAGAGAGAUCAGCGGCGAUACCUUUCCUCUCUCCGUGUCUCUAUUACCCCCCCCUUCUCUCGCUUCACUUAUCCCCUUCUUCCCUCGGCUUUCUCAGGAAAAUUACAACCUGACUGCUCACUUUAAUAUUUCAGCAUCUAAGUGAGUGUGACAGGCUCUUCUUUGUGUGCCCCCCCCCCCCUUCCUGUGUCCCUACCUCCAUCCAUUGUGUCGUUUGCUCAUCGGUCCCCCAAUGGUUCAACUCAGAGAGGGAGAGAGAGGGAGACAGAAAAAACCAAAAACAAAUCAGGCUCAAACCAAGGCCUCUCUGCCAGGCUAUCAGGCUGUCUCUCUCUGUCUCUCAGUGAGUUUCAUGACACGUACGCGGCCAUGAACCUACAAUGAGGAGAGGUAUCGCUUCACCCUGAUGUACGCCACUCACACUCACACUCAGGCUUAGACGCACACAGGCAGUGUUUCAGAGUGACAGAGAGGGUAGUGAUCUUAUCCACAGAGACAGACAUGGACUCAGAAUAGAGGUGUGUGUAUGUCUUUGUGUGUUUGUGUAUAUUAGAAGUCACCUCCUAUACUUGAGCCAUUUCAGCUCAUGAAUUCCUUUGAAAAGGCUUUGCUGCAAACAAAACAGGAAUGGGCUUUUGUAUAUGUACGUCUAUGCUCAUAUGUAUCAUUGUGAGCAAAUGAAUCAUAAAUGUGUGUCUGGACACGUAUUAUACACAAACUGUAUUAUACAUGUUGGAGUAUCAGAGGUGUACUUGUUGGUGGAGUGAUAAAGAGUGUGUUAUUGGAGGUGAAUAGCCAAGAAGAUGGUUCAGUGUGUUGUGUGUUCAUAGGCACUAUGAUACACAUCAAUAAUUUAGCUAGUCUCCCCUACUCUCCAUUCAUUCUAUUUUCAUCUCUGCCAUUUGAUAUCCCUGUCUGCUUCCACUGUCAAAACUGAGCGUAUUUGUGUCCAGAAAGCAAGUGAAAAAUAUACAAAGAGCCUGAAUAAACUAGCCCUUUAUUCCAAAAAGUAGGAACGUAAACAACAGCACACCAACAAUGUAUGGACAAAAGCAUUCAGGAAUUACAUAUCUGCACCUACACAUGCGCUGGUAUGUCUGCACACAAACACUGAUUCACACACAAAAAGAAUCACACACAGAAACAGAGACUCUCAGUGAAGUGAGCAGGUAGCGACAUUGUACACAACAUUGAUCAUAUAAUUUACUCCUCAAGCUACAAGGCUAUUGAUCAAAUAAUUCCAUAUGUGGGCCUUGGCCACUGCCAAAUUGCUAAAAUGGGGAUGCUCUACUCAAAGUGUGUCCCAUAAUGGUUUUGGCAUUGAUCGCAGCUAUCCCUCACUCACUCCCAAUGCAAACAAACUGCAUUCAACUGCAGAGAGAGCAAGAAUCAAAUCACACAUGCACGCGCAUGCAGACUGACACUUCAACAUACUUAGAACAUGCACACACAAGCUUUCAGUGCAUGUCCUGUUAUAUAUUUGUGUGUUCAUCAAAUGUUGAAAUGAACUAUUUGCGCUGGGUUUCAGAGUAGAGCUGCAUUGUGUAGCGGCAGGCAGGAUUUUAGGAGUGAUUGGAAGAUUAAGGCCAGUUGAAAGGCCAAUUUGACCCCAUUUUUACUCUGAUGGCUCAGCUGACCGAUUUCCUGCCGCUGAGUCGCCUGGAGGCUGGAGUCACACACAUAUACACACAUGUACAGUAGGUAUGUAAUUUAUGUGUGCAGCACAAGUGCUUGCAUGCAUGUACAUACAAUACCUGUGAGUGUGCGCAUGCAUGUACAAAUGGAUACACAUCCACAGAUGCCAGUUGCUGUUGGCGACAGAGCGUGUGGUGAAAAGUGAAAGGAAAAUAAAUUAAAAAGACACAAUAGGAUGAGUGAAGCAGAGAGAGACAGAGGAAGUGACAAUAGUGAUGAGGUCCAAGUCAUAAAAUCUCAUGGAAGGCUCUUCCCUUCGCAGCCAAAGUGUUGUUAUGCUACUUACAUGUACUUAAUUCUUUAUUUUGGCAGAAAUAUUGUGAGGGAGCAAUAAAAGAGUCUAGAGAGAAAGUCAUUCUUUUUUACGGGCUGACAACACAGGAUGCAUUUCAGCCACAUUUUUCAGCUGUCCAUCUUGCGCGUCUGAUGGAGUAGAUACGUUUCUAUUUUAAUCAAUACAGCUGUCCACAGAGGCCUUGUAAUUGCUCAUGUUUCACCCGUGAUUUUUAUGCACAACAACCCAAAGCAUCCUGCCAAAAUGUAGAUGACCACACAUAAGUACUGUGGCUGAUCGCAUCCUAGACACUGAUGGAAGACUGAAGCUGCUGCUGCUGACCUGCUGACGUGCUGCUUUCAUCAUGUAGCCUCUGUAGACAUGGUGUCAGCCACACUAAGUUGCACAAAACUCAUCACCUUAAAACUUUUCCAAGUUUUCCAAAAAUGCCAGACUUAAUGGUGGUUUAGCGAGCUGAGACUCAGUAGUCCCACUACUUACCAGAUGUUGGCUGUGAUUUACACAUGAUUUGCUGACCACAAGGGGGGUAAUAAGAGAGAGAUUUAGCCCUUUUCCUAUACUUUUUCUUUACAAAAAUAGCCUAAAAAUUGAGUUUUAACACAUAACAAGCAUUUUCAAAUUUAGCUGACUUAUGUGGAUGUAGUCACAGAGAGGAUCACACGAGAUUUGUAGAGGAAAAGAGCUGAGAAGUGUGACUGUGGAAACGUAACACGGGAAGGAAGGAGAGACACAGAGACAGAAAAGAAUGGGAGAGAGAUAGAGUGUGACAGAAAAGGAGAGAGAAGGCGAGUCCAGCUGGUGGCAGAAACAGAGAGAGAUGUAAGGAUAUGACACCUCCUGUCUCUGCACUGGGCCUCACUGGCCUUUGCUGGAACAUACAUGACAGCCCUGUCACACUCAUUUACUCUCUCUCUUUUUCAAGAGAGAUAUUUGUAGUGAGGAGGAGAGUCAUACACAGUGGGCGAGAGAGGGACAGAGAGAAAAAAGGAGAGAAAAAUAAGAGCAAGAAAGAGACAAGGGGAAUGAAAAAAGAUAGAAAGAAAGGUUAAAAGCAGUAGUGACACUGCAUCAACUCACUUUCACAUUGCUUCCACACUGGUGUCUCUCUGCCACAGUACUAAUGUCCUUGUCAUACCACCAGCAUGUGUGUGUGUGUAGUUCCACUCCUCAUAAGGUAAAAAGUAUCAUUUAAACUUUGGAAAUAAAAUAAAAUAAAAUAUUCUUCUCUUUAUCUCUUUGCCUUCAAAACAAACAAAUGUCCCUAUCGUGUAGCUGGAUCAUUCGCUCAUUCUUUCUCUUUAUAAAAUGUUCAAAAUCCAUCCAAAAUAUUUUUUGUGUAGAUACAUUGAUACAAUGGUGAAUAAUUGUUUCUUUUUCUAAUCCAUAGAAACUACAAGGAUAUUCACUAUCCAGUUUAAUCUUCUCCAACAUACUUUUUAUUGGGAUAACCCCAGCUAUUCUAAAAGAAACAUCUACUAACAUAAUAUUUAUCACCAAUUUAUCAUAUUAUAUAUUUCAGUUCAUUUCUUCAUAAAGGGAUGUCCAAAAACAUUGGCACUCCACUUGUGUCAGACGGGGUUCUGUACAGGCCAGUCAAGUUCUUCCACACCAAACCCAGAAAAUAAUUUCUUUAUGGCCCUCGCUUUGUGCAUUUGCUGCAGCAUUAAGAUUUUCCUUAAUUAGAACUUAGGACCAACCCAUGAAAAACAGCCCUAGAUCAAAAGCACAUAAAAGUAGUCAUGGCCAUAUAGACGAUAAAGUGUAUUAUCAAUAUUAAUAUUAUUAA
Siniperca chuatsi (mandarin fish) is the source of this 6441-nucleotide long non-coding RNA. RefSeq lists it as uncharacterized. Lineage: Eukaryota; Metazoa; Chordata; Actinopteri; Centrarchiformes; Sinipercidae. The record is from RefSeq and is a predicted model, not a curated record. The transcript has 3 exons.